CCUAUCCAUACUCUUAUGCCUCUACUCAAGUUGCAAUACUCAUCAACUGACAAGUUCCUUCAACCAGCUCUCACAUUGAUUCACACACACACACAAAGUGAAUUCUCACAAAUGGGCACAUGAUCUCAAUCAUUUGGCUAGGUAAGCAAUGGUCUAAUAUGAAUGAAAAGAAGGAUUUAAAUGUUAUUAUUCCAAAGUGGUUAUCACUCAAGAACAAGGAACUUGAUCAUUAUGCAAAAUUUAUCUAAGAUUAGAAGCAACUCAUGCAUACAUAGAUUAAUUCUCAUCAUGCUACCCUUUUCCUAAGUGAUUACCAGUUCUACCCUUUUAUCAUCAUCUCAAACCAAAAUAAAACACACUCUCAUCACUCACCCAAUGAACAACUCUCUUCUUCUUUUGACUCAACUAACUAGGGACUUUAAUUCAUUUUCUUUACAGCACUUAGCUCUAACUCUUUCUCAUUUCCUUCCACACUUUCUCUUUGAUUCUUUUUCUUUUUUUCUAUAAGGGGGAAGGUUCUUUCGUACAUAAUCUAAAGCUUCAUACUUUCCCUUUUUCUUUUUUUUUUGUCCCUAGAGUUUUCUUUUCUAUUAACACUCUUUUAUUCAUCUCUCUCAUCUUUCUCACUCCUCAAACCCAAGAUAUUGAAAUUUAGGUUACACA
RNAcentral lists this long non-coding RNA (663 nucleotides) under Brassica napus (rape). Its description in RNAcentral is "long non-coding RNA (BNAP_LNC005010)". Lineage: Eukaryota; Viridiplantae; Streptophyta; Magnoliopsida; Brassicales; Brassicaceae. The record is from RNAcentral.